GAGGUUUGAAAGCUACUUUUCAUUAAGUAGAUGAAGGGGGUUGAAUUCCAGUAAAUACAUACACGUGAAAGACAUGGGUAACAUGAUAUUUAGAAAAAAAGUGAAUAAAUAAGAGAAAUAUUUGGAAAAUACGAAAAUAAUAUUAAUAGUAAUAAUAAUAAUAUGAGUUAGACUAUACCACCGGCUGGGUUUUCCAGCCACGGAUA
Caenorhabditis elegans is the source of this 206-nucleotide non-coding RNA. The record is from Ensembl. Lineage: Eukaryota; Metazoa; Nematoda; Chromadorea; Rhabditida; Rhabditidae.